Molecule: ribosomal RNA, 724 nt
Filed under: uncultured bacterium
Lineage: Bacteria
Description: bacterial SSU rRNA
Rfam family: Bacterial small subunit ribosomal RNA
Source: RNAcentral
GAUGAACGCUGACAGAAUGCUUAACACAUGCAAGUCUACUUGAUCCUUCGGGUGAUGGUGGCGGACGGGUGAGUAACGCGUAAAGAACUUGCCCUGCAGUCUGGGACAACAUUUGGAAACGAAUGCUAAUACCGGAUAUUAUGUGAGUUUCGCAUGAAAUUCAUAUGAAAGCUAUAUGCGCUGCAGGAGAGCUUUGCGUCCUAUUAGCUAGUUGGUGAGGUAACGGCUCACCAAGGCGAUGAUAGGUAGCCGGCCUGAGAGGGUGAACGGCCACAAGGGGACUGAGACACGGCCCUUACUCCUACGGGAGGCAGCAGUGGGGAAUAUUGGACAAUGGACCAAAAGUCUGAUCCAGCAAUUCUGUGUGCACGAUGAAGUUUUUCGGAAUGUAAAGUGCUUUCAGUUGGGAAGAAGAAAGUGACGGUACCAACAGAAGAAGCGACGGCUAAAUACGUGCCAGCAGCCGCGGUAAUACGUAUGUCGCAAGCGUUAUCCGGAUUUAUUGGGCGUAAAGCGCGUCUAGGCGGUUUGGUAAGUCUGAUGUGAAAAUGCGGGGCUCAACUCCGUAUUGCGUUGGAAACUGCUAAACUAGAGUACUGGAGAGGUAGGCGGAACUACAAGUGUAGAGGUGAAAUUCGUAGAUAUUUGUAGGAAUGCCGAUGGGGAAGCCAGCCUACUGGACAGAUACUGACGCUAAAGCGCGAAAACGUGGGUAGCAAACAGG